UUUUUCAUCAAACAUGUAAGAUAUUAAGAUUAAUACUUAAGAUAAUAAGAGAAAAAUUUAAAUUAGUAUUAAUUAAAACUUAAUUUAUCAAUAAAUAAUUAAAUUGAUUACAAAUUAUAUCAUUUGUAUGAUUAUACGAUGGGUUGGAUCACUGUGUUGUCGGUUAAAAGAUUACAUAUUUUUUUUCCAUCAAACAUAUAGUAAAAUUAAAUAUUUUUAUUGAAAAUUAAAUGAUUCUUUUUAAAAUACAAAAUAAACAGGUUCGUCUAAAAACUAGCAAUUUCCUAAAUUUGAAAAUGCCGAAAACACAAUAAAUAAGUCUACACUUGCAUGGGGUCUCAUAUUAUUGAUGUGAAAUAUUUGCAUGGGGCCUUACAUUAUGGACCCCCUAUUUUUAAACAAUAGCAUAUAUAUAUAUAUAUAGGUAUAAAGUAGUAUAAUCGAAAAAUUAGUUUAUAAAUAUAAUAAUAAACUAUUAAGUAAGUUUCAUAUUAUUAUGAUUUAGAUAUAAAAAAAAUAGUUGUGAAGUUAAAGCAAACAAAAUAUCAGUUUAUUUUUAAAAUAUUAUAAUAUCUUUUAAAAACAUAACCUAUUUUGUUUGUAUUGAUAUUUUUAUUUUACAAUAACUUAACUUUUUCUGUAAUUAUUUAGUAUAUCAUUUUCUAUAUUAUAAACUAUAAUUAUUUAAAUAAGAGUUUCGUAAAAUUUAUUAAAAAAAUUGAUUAAUAUGAAUAAUUUUAUUUUGAUAGGCCCUUAUAAUCAAAAUUGAUUAAUAUGAAUAAUUUUAUUUUGAUAGGCCCUUAUAAUCACCGGACAGGCUCUUACUGUUAGUUAUCUAGUUCUUAAACCACCUCCAUCGGUAGCAUCUAGAGGAGGUCCUGAUAUAUUAAAGAGAAAAAAUUAAAAUUAAAUGAAUUUAUUAAGCUGAACCGCUCCUUAAUUGAGUGAUUAUAGGAGUGUAAAGAACUCCUACGUGGCAUAUUCGUAUUGGUUGAUUCUUUUUCUACGAAAGGAAAAAACGCGUGGCCUUUUCUCUCUAUUGUUGUCUCGGCUGUGCUCUCUUCGAUGUCAUCGAAGAAUCAGAGAUGCUUUUCUGAUGAAAUCUCCAAAGCUUGAUGAUGGCUCGGUCUCUCCGUCUCUCCUCUUCGUGAUUUAACGCCGACGACGACAAAGAGGAGACAGCAGUGGAGUAACGCGCCGAAUCCGAUACCAACGAUGUCCCAGCCCCGAAAAUCCGAUACCGACGACGUCGUGGCUCCUCCUCUCGUCCAUCCUCAAGUUCCUCUCGAUCAACGACUCCAAGCUCUGCAAGUCCUUAGCCAACUCGCUGUGACUCCUCACCAUCUCCUCCAUCGAUUUUAUCCGCACCGAGUCGCUGAUCUUCCACCGGUGCCUUCGAUAUCUCGUCUGUCUCUUCCAACUUAGAGGUAGUGACUCUCGGAACCGAUUGAUUCAACUCGACAACUCCUCUGACAACUUUGAGGUUUAUGGUUGUCGAAUCCGAUGAUUUUGGUGUUGUAAUUAACCAAGUGUGAGGAAGGCUAACACUGAAGAAGCAGAAGGGAAGGUGUGUGUGGACCUUGAGAACAUGUGGGACAUGAGGCAAAAGGACUUUGCAUUGAGAGAGAAGGUUAACAAUCAAAAUUGCUUCAGAUGCUACUUGGCAAGACUGAGCCAUUAACUGAACCAGAGCAAGCUUUGAAAAACAAGCUGAUCAAUGAUCUGUUGGUUUGAGGGCGUGUAUGAUGUUGUUUCUGAUCGAUCUUGUACGGUAUUGUGUCUGAGUUUGUAUUGAGUUGUGUCUGAGUUUCUAUGAUGUUGUCUCUAAGUUUGUAUGAUAUUGUUUCUGAUAUUGUCGAGUCUGUGAUAUGCAUGUCGAGUCUGUAUGAUAUUGUGUCUCAUAUUAUGUCUGAGUUUGAGUUCUCGAGUCUGUAUAAUAUUGGGUUUCAAUGUAUAAUAUUGGUUUCUAUUUUAUGAUAUUGAAUUUCAAUGUAUAAUAUUGAGUUUCAGUUCUCGUGACACAAACAACAAAAGAAAUAAAGUGAGUGGCAUGUGACGUUUGUUGUGUAACUGAUCUAUACAUGUGAAUUUUGCAGGUUGAUGGUUGAGAGAGAUGCAUGUGACACAAGCAAACAAGAAAAGGAAAAGAAACAGCAGGGAAGCAUGUGACACAAACAAACAACUUUCAAAUGUCGUAGCAUGUGAAUCCUAAAGUUCCAUACGUUUCAUAUUCUUCCUUUAUAAUGUAGUAGCAUGUUUAGAAAAUUGUAUUCUCCAAAUUGUGCCUAACGGUUUCUUUCUCUCUUUUUUUGCUGCAUUGUAAGAUUCAAAUUGUGCCAAACGUUUUCUCUCGUUUCAUAUUCUCUCAAACUAUUUCUCUUUUAUCAUCUCUUUCUUACCAUUUCACUUUCAAAUGUCUUCUUCUUCUUCUUCUUCACACAAUUUUGAAGAUAUUUCGGAUGAAGCAUUUGAUCAACUUUGGGACGAACAAUUCGAGCAACUUUACACUCACCAUGAAAAUCGUCAAGCAGCUGCAAAGUCCAAAAAAAAAAGAGCUUACAUUGAAAGACAACGCGAACAAGGACACAUGCAGUUGUGGAACGAUUAUUUUAGUGAAGAUGCAGCAUAUCCUUCUCACAUGUUUCGACGCCGUUUUAGAAUGAACAAGCCUUUGUUCAUGCGAAUUGUUGAUCGACUCUCCGCUGAAAUUUCAUACUUUCAACAAAGAAGAGAUGCUACUGGAAGGUUCGGUCACUCUCCAUUACAAAAGGCAACAACAGCAAUUCGUAUGAUGGCAUAUGGUUGCCCAGCUGAUGCAGUCGACGAAUACCUCCGACUUGGUGAGACCACCGCGCUUUUAUGCUUGGAACAUUUUGUACAAGGAAUCAUAGAUUUAUUUGGAGAAGAAUAUCUAAGAAGACCCACACCAGAAGAUCUUCAACGACUCCUUGAUACUGGAGAGGAGCGCGGAUUUCCCGGGAUGAUAGGAAGCAUCGAUUGUAUGCAUUGGGAGUGGAAGAAUUGUCCGACCGCUUGGAAAGGUCAAUAUACACGUGGAUCAGGAAAACCAACUAUUGUUUUAGAGGCUGUAUCUUCAGAAGAUCUUUGGAUAUGACAUGCGUUUUUCGGACCUCCAGAUGGUAUUUAUCCAAAUUGGGCUACUUUUGUCCAAUCUAUUCGAGAACCGCAAGGUCCAAAAGCAUCCUUAUUUGCUACAAAGCAAGAAGCUGUUCGUAAAGAUGUCGAGCGUGCUUUUGGGGUCUUGCAAGCUCGAUUUGCCAUUGUCAAAAAUCCAGCUCUUUUGUGGGAUAAAAUAAAAAUUGGAAAGAUAAUGAGAGCAUGUAUCAUUCUUCAUAAUAUGAUCGUGGAAGAUGAACGAGACAAGUACACUCUUACUGAUGUAUCAGUUUUCGAACAACCGAAAUCAAGCCGAAGUUCACAUGUCGAUUUAAACUUUUCAACACAGAUGCCUACAAAUCUCCAUAAUGUUAUGGGCAUGCUGACUAUUCGGAAUGAAGUCCGUGAUAACCAAAUACAUCAACGACUGAAAGCUGAUUUGGUUGAGAAUAUAUGGCAAAAGUUUGGAACUCCUCAAGAUUUCAACUAAUCGUUUUUUCUCGUUCACGAUUUGUAUUUGUAUUAUUAAUAUGUUUUGUAUAAUAUUUAUUAACACUUUUAUGUAUGCUUUUAUUUUAAAUC
Long non-coding RNA from Brassica napus (rape), 3699 nucleotides. RefSeq lists it as uncharacterized. The transcript has 2 exons. The record is from RefSeq and is a predicted model, not a curated record. Lineage: Eukaryota; Viridiplantae; Streptophyta; Magnoliopsida; Brassicales; Brassicaceae.